This 479-nucleotide ribosomal RNA is filed under the name uncultured bacterium. RNAcentral's name for it is "partial 16S ribosomal RNA". It matches the Rfam family "Bacterial small subunit ribosomal RNA", at positions 28 to 507 of the family's 1533-position model. The record is from RNAcentral.
GAUGAACGCUAGCGGGAGGCCUAACACAUGCAAGCCGAGCGGUAUUGUUUCUUCGGAAAUGAGAGAGCGGCGUACGGGUGCGUAACACGUGUGCAACCUGCCUUUAUCUGGGGGAUAGCCUUUCGAAAGGAAGAUUAAUACUCCUUAAUAUUUUGAACGGCAUCGUUUAAUAUUAAAAGCUCCGGCGGAUAUAGAUGGGCCCGCUCAAGAUUAGCUCGUUGGUGAGGUAACGGCUCACCAAGGCGAUGAUCUUUAGGGGGCCUGAGAGGGUGAUCCCCCACACUGGUACUGAGACACGGACCAGACUCCUACGGGAGGCAGCAGUGAGGAAUAUUGGUCAAUGGGUGCAAGCCUGAACCAGCCAUCCCGGGUGAAGGACGACUGCCCUAUGGGUUGUAAACUUCUUUUGUAUAGGGAUAAACCUACCCUCGAGGGGGUAGCUGAAGGUACUAUACGAAUAAGCACCGGCUAACUCCGUG